Molecule: long non-coding RNA, 93 nt
Filed under: Numida meleagris (helmeted guineafowl)
Lineage: Eukaryota; Metazoa; Chordata; Aves; Galliformes; Numididae
Description: lncRNA (ENSNMEG00000017895.1)
Source: RNAcentral
CACUUGGAGCUGCUAAAUGUGCUUGCAUACUUGGAUAUUGAAGACAGCUGCUCCAAAAAUGGCAGCUUUCCCUGCUGGGCUCUCUUCCAUACA